GUGUCAGCAGCCGCGCGGUAAUACGGAGGGUGCAAGCGUUAAUCGGAAUUACUGGGCGUAAAGCGCACGCAGGCGGUUUGUUAAGUCAGAUGUGAAAUCCCCGGGCUCAACCUGGGAACUGCAUCUGAUACUGGCAAGCUUGAGUCUCGUAGAGGGGGGUAGAAUUCCAGGUGUAGCGGUGAAAUGCGUAGAGAUCUGGAGGAAUACCGGUGGCGAAGGCGGCCCCCUGGACGAAGACUGACGCUCAGGUGCGAAAGCGUGGAGAGCAAACAGGAUUAGAUAUCCUGGUAGUCCACGCCGUAAACGAUGUCGACUUGGAGGUUGUGCCCUUGAGGCGUGGCUUCCGGAGCUAACGCGUUAAGUCGACCGCCUGGGGAGUACGGCCGCAAGGUUAAAACUCAAAUGAAUUGACGGGGGCCCGCACAAGCGGUGGAGCAUGUGGUUUAAUUCGAUGCAACGCGAAGAACCUUACCUGGUCUUGACAUCCACGGAAGUUUUCAGAGAUGAGAAUGUGCCUUCGGGAACCGUGAGACAGGUGCUGCAUGGCUGUCGUCAGCUCGUGUUGUGAAAUGUUGGGUUAAGUCCCGCAACGAGUGCAACCCUUAUCCUUUGUUGCCAGCGGUCCGGCCGGGAACUCAAAGGAGACUGCCAGUGAUAAACUGGAGGAAGGUGGGGAUGACGUCAAGUCAUCAUGGCCCUUACGACCAGGGCUACACACGUGCUACAAUGGCGCAUACAAAGAGAAGCGACCUCGCGAGAGCAAGCGGACCUCAUAAAGUGCGUCGUAGUCCGGAUUGGAGUCUGCAACUCGACUCCAUGAAGUCGGAAUCGCUAGUAAUCGUGGAUCAGAAUGCCACGGUGAAUACGUUCCCGGGCCUUAUACACACCGCCCGUCACACCAUGGGAGUGGGUUGCAAAAGAGUAGUAGCUUAACCUUCGGGAGGGCGCUUACACUUUGUGAUUCAUGACUGGGGUGAAGUCGUACAGUACAUCAUAUGACUAG
Molecule: ribosomal RNA, 1003 nt
Filed under: uncultured bacterium
Lineage: Bacteria
Description: bacterial SSU rRNA
Rfam family: Bacterial small subunit ribosomal RNA
Source: RNAcentral